AGAGUUUGAUCCUGGCUCAGGAUGAACGCUAGCUACAGGCUUAACACAUGCAAGUCGAGGGGCAGCAUGGUCUUAGCUUGCUAAGGCCGAUGGCGACCGGCGCACGGGUGAGUAACACGUAUCCAACCUGCCGUCUACUCUUGGACAGCCUUCUGAAAGGAAGAUUAAUACAAGAUGGCAUCAUGAGUCCACAUGUUCACAUGAUUAAAGGUAUUCCGGUAGACGAUGGGGAUGCGUUCCAUUAGAUAGUAGGCGGGGUAACGGCCCACCUAGUCUUCGAUGGAUAGGGGUUCUGAGAGGAAGGUCCCCCACAUUGGAACUGAGACACGGUCCAAACUCCUACGGGAGGCAGCAGUGAGGAAUAUUGGUCAAUGGGCGAGAGCCUGAACCAGCCAAGUAGCGUGAAGGAUGACUGCCCUAUGGGUUGUAAACUUCUUUUAUAAAGGAAUAAAGUCGGGUAUGGAUACCCGUUUGCAUGUACUUUAUGAAUAAGGAUCGGCUAACUCCGUGCCAGCAGCCGCGGUAAUACGGAGGAUCCGAGCGUUAUCCGGAUUUAUUGGGUUUAAAGGGAGCGUAGAUGGAUGUUUAAGUCAGUUGUGAAAGUUUGCGGCUCAACCGUAAAAUUGCAGUUGAUACUGGGUGUCUUGAGUACAGUAGAGGCAGGCGGAAUUCGUGGUGUAGCGGUGAAAUGCUAAGAUAUCACGAAGAACUCCGAUUGCGAAGGCAGCCUGCUAAGCUGCAACUGACAUUGAGGCUCGAAAGUGUGGGUAUCAAACAGGAUUAGAUACCCUGGUAGUCCACACGGUAAACGAUGAAUACUCGCUGUUUGCGAUAUACAGCAAGCGGCCAAGCGAAAGCGUUAAGUAUUCCACCUGGGGAGUACGCCGGCAACGGUGAAACUCAAAGGAAUUGACGGGGGCCCGCACAAGCGGAGGAACAUGUGGUUUAAUUCGAUGAUACGCGAGGAACCUUACCCGGGCUUAAAUUGCAGAUGAAUUACGGUGAAAGCCGUAAGCCGCAAGGCAUCUGUGAAGGUGCUGCAUGGUUGUCGUCAGCUCGUGCCGUGAGGUGUCGGCUUAAGUGCCAUAACGAGCGCAACCCUUGUUGUCAGUUACUAACAGGUUUCGCUGAGGACUCUGAC
Molecule: ribosomal RNA, 1141 nt
Filed under: uncultured bacterium
Lineage: Bacteria
Description: bacterial SSU rRNA
Rfam family: Bacterial small subunit ribosomal RNA
Source: RNAcentral